GACAGAGGGUGCAAACGUUGCUCGGAAUCACUGGGCUUAAAGAGUCCGUAGGCGGCAUGUUAGGUGAGGUGUGAAAUCCCCCGGCUCAACCGAGGAAUUGCGCUCCAAACCGGCGUGCUCGAGGAAGAUAGAGGUGGGCGGAACUGAUGGUGGAGCGGUGAAAUGCGUUGAUAUCAUCAGGAACACCGGAGGCGAAGGCGGCCCACUGGGUCUUUUCUGACGCUGAGGGACGAAAGCUAGGGGAGCGAACGGG
RNAcentral lists this ribosomal RNA (253 nucleotides) under uncultured bacterium. RNAcentral's name for it is "partial 16S ribosomal RNA". It matches the Rfam family "Bacterial small subunit ribosomal RNA", at positions 524 to 776 of the family's 1533-position model. The record is from RNAcentral.